Molecule: transfer RNA, 69 nt
Filed under: Gymnobelideus leadbeateri (Leadbeater's possum)
Lineage: Eukaryota; Metazoa; Chordata; Mammalia; Diprotodontia; Petauridae
Description: tRNA-Pro
Source: RNAcentral
CAGGAAGUAGUUUAUUUAGAAUGUCAGCUUUGGGUGUUGAUGGUGGGGUGUUGAAACCUUCUUCUUGAU